GACGAACGCUGGCGGCGUGCCUAACACAUGCAAGUCGAACGGGGUGAUUUCCUUCGGGAGAUCACUUAGUGGCGAACGGGUGAGUAACGCGUGAGAAACCUGCCUUUCAGUGGGGGACAACAGUUGGAAACGACUGCUAAUACCGCAUAAUGUAUUUUGGGGGCAUCCCUGAAAUACCAAAGCUUUAUGUGCUGAAAGAUGGUCUCGCGUCUGAUUAGCUAGUUGGUGAGGUAACGGCUCACCAAGGCGACGAUCAGUAGCCGGUCUGAGAGGAUGAACGGCCACAUUGGGACUGAGAUACGGCCCAG
This 308-nucleotide ribosomal RNA is filed under the name uncultured bacterium. Its description in RNAcentral is "bacterial SSU rRNA". It matches the Rfam family "Bacterial small subunit ribosomal RNA", at positions 28 to 334 of the family's 1533-position model. The record is from RNAcentral.